This 252-nucleotide ribosomal RNA is filed under the name uncultured bacterium. RNAcentral describes it as "partial 16S ribosomal RNA". It matches the Rfam family "Bacterial small subunit ribosomal RNA", at positions 524 to 776 of the family's 1533-position model. The record is from RNAcentral.
UACGUAGGUGGCAAGCGUUGUCCGGAAUUACUGGGUGUAAAGGGCGUGUAGGCGGGGAAACAAGUCAGAUGUGAAAUACCGGGGCUCAACUCCGGGGCUGCAUCUGAAACUGUAUCUCUUGAGUGCUGGAGAGGAAAGCGGAAUUCCUAGUGUAGCGGUGAAAUGCGUAGAUAUUAGGAGGAACACCAGUGGCGAAGGCGGCUUUCUGACAGUAACUGACGCUGAGGCACGAAAGCGUGGGGAGCAAACAGG